This 89-nucleotide transfer RNA is filed under the name Candidatus Kaiserbacteria bacterium. RNAcentral's name for it is "tRNA-Ser". It matches the Rfam family "tRNA". Rfam says of the family: Transfer RNA (tRNA) molecules are approximately 80 nucleotides in length. Lineage: Bacteria; Candidatus Kaiseribacteriota. The record is from RNAcentral.
GGAGAGGUGGCUGAGUGGUCGAAGGCGCUCCCCUGCUAAGGGAGUAGGGGGAUAAAACCCCCUCGAGGGUUCGAAUCCCUCCCUCUCCG